GACGAACGCUGGCGGCGUGCUUAACACAUGCAAGUCGAACGGAGUGGCGAACGGGUGAGUAACACGUGGGUGACCUGACCUGCAAUUCGGGAUAAGCCUGGGGAACUGGGUCUAAUACAGGCUCGUGUGGGAUGUGCCCGCGGCCUAUAAGCUUGUUGGUGGGGUAAGGGCCUACCAAGGCGGAGACGGGGAGCCGGGCUGAGAGGGUGGAACGCCAACAUGGGGCUGAGGCACGUCCCAGACUCCUACGGGAGGCAGCAGUGGGGAAGAUUGCACAAUGGGCGGAAGCCUGAUGCAGCGACGGCGCGUGGGGGAUGACGGCCUUCGGGUUGUAAACUCCUUUCACCAUCGACGCGGUAGAUGGAGAAGAAGCACCGGCUAACUACGUGCCAGCAGCCGCGGUAAUAC
Molecule: ribosomal RNA, 408 nt
Filed under: uncultured bacterium
Lineage: Bacteria
Description: partial 16S ribosomal RNA
Rfam family: Bacterial small subunit ribosomal RNA
Source: RNAcentral